GACGAACGCUGGCGGCGUGCUUAACACAUGCAAGUCGAACGAUGAUGCCCAGCUUGCUGGGUGGAUUAGUGGCGAACGGGUGAGUAACACGUGAGUAACCUGCCCUUUCCUCUGGGAUAACUCCGGGAAACCGGUGCUAAUACUGGAUAUGACUCCAACCUGCAUUGGUAUGGGGUGGAAAGAUUUAUCGGGAUGGGAUGGACUCGCGGCCUAUCAGCUUGUUGGUGGGGUAAUGGCCUACCAAGGCGACGACGGGUAGCCGGCCUGAGUGGGGGACCGGCCACACUGGGACUGAGACACGGCCCAGACUCCUACGGGAGGCAGCAGUGGGGAAUAUUGCACAAUGGGCGAAAGCCUGAUGCAGCGACGCCGCGUGCGGGAUGACGGCCUUCGGGUUGUAAACCGCUUUCAGCUCUGACGAAGCUUUUGUGACGGUAGGAGCAGAAGAAGCACCGGCUAACUACGUGCCAGCCGCCGCGGUAA
RNAcentral lists this ribosomal RNA (483 nucleotides) under uncultured bacterium. RNAcentral describes it as "partial 16S ribosomal RNA". It matches the Rfam family "Bacterial small subunit ribosomal RNA", at positions 28 to 523 of the family's 1533-position model. The record is from RNAcentral.